Long non-coding RNA from Oncorhynchus tshawytscha (Chinook salmon), 661 nucleotides. NCBI's taxonomy places the organism in Eukaryota, Metazoa, Chordata, Actinopteri, Salmoniformes, Salmonidae. The record is from Ensembl.
CAGGGAUGGCUAACUGGAAGUUCCUUUGGUCUCGAGCAGAGUUAGGGCUCAUCUGUAAAAUAUACCUUGGUCUCAGUAUGACGACCUGAUAGAGGUUAAAUAAAACAUUUAAAAAUGGACUUCUCACUCGACUGCUGUGUGUCUAUGAUUUUACCAUCGACAGCCAUCGACAUCAUUAAGCCCUGCACAACUAACAUGCUGUUUCCUAUUUAACAACAGAUCAUAAAUAACGCUCAACUGGGACCACUGGCUGCGGUGAUUUAUUUGGACAAAACACAAUGCAAGGAGAGUACGAUUAACAUCUGCUAUCACCGGUGUCAUGACCCGGAUCAACAGCAUCAAUGUAACAGUUUCGCUUGCAUCCCUCUCCUUGCCCCUACCUGGGCUCGACCCAGGGACCCUCUCUCUGCACACAUCAACAACUGCCUCCCACGAAGCAUCGUUAAUCGUCGCUCCACAAAAGCCGCGGCCCUUGCAGAGCAAGGGGAACAUCUACUUCAAGGUCGCAGAGCAAGUGAUGUCACCGAUUUAAACGCUAUUUAGAGCGCACCCCGCUAAUUAGUUAGCCAUUUCACAUUGGCUACACCGGCGGUCCCCAGUGGCAAUAAAUUAGUCAAACCAAAAGCUUACCUUGACUUGGAAGAGUUCUAGUGUUGCGUUG